Molecule: ribosomal RNA, 433 nt
Filed under: uncultured bacterium
Lineage: Bacteria
Description: partial 16S ribosomal RNA
Rfam family: Bacterial small subunit ribosomal RNA
Source: RNAcentral
AACGAACGCUGGCGGCAUGCCUAACACAUGCAAGUCGAACGAGACCUUCGGGUCUAGUGGCGCACGGGUGCGUACCGCGUGGGAACCUGCCCUUAGGUUCGGAAUAACUCCCCGAAGGGGGUGCUAAUACCGGAUAAUGUCUUCGGACCAAAGAUUUAUCGCCUUUGGAUGGGCCCGCGUUGGAUUAGCUAGUUGGUAGGGUAAAAGCCUACCAAGGCGACGAUCCAUAGCUGGUCUGAGAGGAUGAUCAGCCACACUGGGACUGAGACACGGCCCAGACUCCUACGGGAGGCAGCAGUGGGGAAUAUUGGACAAUGGGCGAAAGCCUGAUCCAGCAAUGCCGCGUGAGUGAUGAAGGCCUUAGGGUUGUAAAGCUCUUUUACCCGGGAUGAUAAUGACAGUACCGGGAGAAUAAGCUCCGGCUAACUCCGUG